This is a long non-coding RNA of Oncorhynchus tshawytscha (Chinook salmon), 234 nucleotides long. RefSeq lists it as uncharacterized. NCBI's taxonomy places the organism in Eukaryota, Metazoa, Chordata, Actinopteri, Salmoniformes, Salmonidae. The record is from RefSeq and is a predicted model, not a curated record. The transcript has 3 exons.
GGUUCAGAAAGGAAGCAGAGGAAGGGAAUGACAUAAGUCACCUGACCUGGGAGGUGAACACUCAACUCAGAAUGAGGGACGUUGAACAUGAGGCUUUUACUGAGUUGGCCACCGACCUUAGUCAGGCCAUUAACUCACUUGACUUUACUGCUGAUCUCUCCUACCUAAACCCUGAGGUCUGCGAUGAAGUUGUAAGAGCUCUAAAGAGCAUUUCCCAGAGCCUGGCCUUCCAGC